UACAGGCACUGGCGUUUGCUGGGAGAGCAGUGCCAGGCAACUAAGGCAGAAGAGAACUACAGGCAGCCAGCCCCUCUCACGCCUCCUCCCCCCACCCAGUACUACUGCUCCUAAGCCUUUCCAACAAAAUCCACCUCGACUCACUUGGCCCCUGGUAGCGAAUGCCCAGUUCUUCAUUCUUCUCCUCUUGGGGAACGCAUAGCUGUAAGACUGAACUUGUGAACUUUACACGGACUGCCCCGGAGGCUAAGAGACAGUAUGGGCUGGGACCGCAGUCAUCGUUCCAAAGGUGAGAAACUAAGGCGGAAGAAGUUAUGGUCAUGCAUCUAGCCAGUGAUGGAACUGGCCCUUGAAACACAACCUUCUGACCACAAGUUGCCCUCACCUGGAUACACCUUUCCCUCACCAUGGACACUGCCACCUUAAGGGAAGCCUAGGGCAAUUCUAGAGAGGUGUGGAUGGCAGUCCUAGGCUGAGGCCUGACUGCAGCACUGCUGAGAUGGGUAGAGACUUCCAGGGCUCAGUGUCCUCAGGGCCAUUUGUUUAUCAUGUUCUUAAAAUUUCAGCACAGGCAAAAGUGAAUCCAAGACUAUAAUACCUCUUCCUUGUAGAAUGGCUCAGAAACCCAUGCCAGGUCACGGUUUCCUGUCUUAUGGCUACCAGAUGUGGUCAGUGCUCUAGUGACCAAGUUCACAGCUAAGGUACUUGUCUUUAGAAGACAAUAAGCAGUUAUAACAUGGAAAGAACAAAGUUCAAAUAAGGUUUUAGAGCUAAUAACAGAACAGCCUAAAAAUUACAAAAUCUCCUUUCCUACGUGCUGAUUUCAGGUAAUUGUAUCAAGAUGGAUAAAAAGAGAGAAUUAACAUGAUUUUAAUGCCCUUGAAUUUAUUCUAACGCAAUCACAGAUAAAAAAACUCAUUUUGGCCAUUUUAUGAUAUGGUCAAAAUUCUAGAGGUCAUAUUCACUGCCUUAGUGAAUUUUAUUUCAAUUUCUAGCUAUAAUAAAAAAAUAGAAAUUCAUCACCUGAAAUAUAUGCUGUUUUGGGGAAAUUAAUAACUGUUUUUAAAGUGCUUCAAAUAUAUGAGAUAUUAAUAGAUUUAAUGAAUCACAAAAAGAAUUUCUUCCUUUUAAAAAGCCUGUCUCUGAUCAAUUCCACUUC
Long non-coding RNA from Balaenoptera acutorostrata (minke whale), 1159 nucleotides. RefSeq lists it as uncharacterized. The record is from RefSeq and is a predicted model, not a curated record. NCBI's taxonomy places the organism in Eukaryota, Metazoa, Chordata, Mammalia, Artiodactyla, Balaenopteridae. The transcript is spliced from 3 exons.